GGCCGGCUUUUACUAAGCUAUUCAGAGCCAUAUCACAUUCCCUAAGAAUCAAGUUAAUAGAGCAUGCCAGGAGUUCUGACUGUUUGACAAGCAAACGUACUCCAGGCUACAAAUGAUUUUUAAAGAAACAAGGCUACACAUGAUUGUUUACAAUCUUUCUCUGAAAGUUUUCUAUGUCUAUAUGCGACAUUUAAGACUGACAAUUUUGUGUCUAAGCUCAUAAUACGACUGCCCCC
This 236-nucleotide long non-coding RNA is filed under the name Elaeis guineensis (African oil palm). RNAcentral's name for it is "long non-coding RNA (EGUI_LNC016290)". The record is from RNAcentral. Lineage: Eukaryota; Viridiplantae; Streptophyta; Magnoliopsida; Arecales; Arecaceae.